ACCUGACUGGCUCAGUAAGAAUAGCAUGUGACUCUUGAUCCCAAGGUCAUGAGUUCGACACAUGUUGGGUG
Molecule: transfer RNA, 71 nt
Filed under: Ailuropoda melanoleuca (giant panda)
Lineage: Eukaryota; Metazoa; Chordata; Mammalia; Carnivora; Ursidae
Rfam family: tRNA
About the family: Transfer RNA (tRNA) molecules are approximately 80 nucleotides in length. Their secondary structure includes four short double-helical elements and three loops (D, anti-codon, and T loops).
Source: Rfam by way of RNAcentral